UACGUAGGCAGCGAGCGUUGUUCGGAGUUAUUGGGCGUAAAGAGCUCGUAGGCGGUUUGUCGCGUCUGCUGUGAAAACUCGGGGCUUAACUCCGGGCCUGCAGUGGGUACGGGCAGACUAGAGUGCGGUAGGGGAGACUGGAAUUCCUGGUGUAGCGGUGAAAUGCGUAGAUAUGUGGAGGAACACCGAUGGCGAAGGCAGCCCCCUGGGCUAACACUGACGCUCAUGCACGAAAGCGUGGGGAGCAAACAGG
This 253-nucleotide ribosomal RNA is filed under the name uncultured bacterium. RNAcentral describes it as "partial 16S ribosomal RNA". It matches the Rfam family "Bacterial small subunit ribosomal RNA", at positions 524 to 776 of the family's 1533-position model. The record is from RNAcentral.